GUCCUCCUAAUCUUAACUGUUUUUAAUACCUAUAAUGUUGAAAUUUUGCUUUCUCUAUUUAAUUAGAGUAUUUUUUAAGAUAUCACCGUAAUUCGGUCUUAAAUUUCGAUGAAAUAUAGUUUUUUAGUGAUAUUCUCCAAGCAAAAGGGUGAACUUUUGUAAACCAUUCUAUUUUUUAUAAUAAAAAUGAUAAUUUGCUUUGCCCCGGACUGUAAACACUAUAAUGAAAGAUGGUUAUGUAGAUUCUUUAUGUUUACAAAGGAUCUAGUUGAAAAAAAGAGGUAGAUUUCAUUACUAAGUAAGAAAAUAUAGUGAUAGUAAAGAACUGAAUUUAUCCCUUUAUUACUAUUGACUCACAGACGGAAAGAUAGGGAACCAUUCUUUAGUUUGCUGGUGCCACUUUGUGAAUUCUGACCAACAAAAUGACCCAACAUUUUUAGAGCAUAUCAAGCCAAAGGUUUUUUUGAUGGACAAUUAACCUUUACAUCUAAAUUAAAAGAGUAAAGUAUAUUUUGCUUCUUGAAAUGGCAUUCAAUAUCAACUUGAGAAAGAAACAGUUUGAUUUGUUGGUAAUGACCGAAGAUGAAAUCCAAGAACUUAUGGAUUCUGUUGAAACUGAUUGGAAAAAAGCAAAACAUCCCAUUGAUGACAUUCGCGGUGACAGUAUUGAUCACUUUCCACUUUAGCUCAGCAAAGAGGAUGGUAAAAAAAUGUAAAUUUUGCAAUGUGUUGAAAAUUCAAUGUAUGUGUAGCAAAUGUGAUAUUCAUUUAUGUUGUUCUAAUGCCAGAGACUGUUUUUAUAAUUGUCCCAUAAAAAUAGUUUACACCUAUUCUGUUCUGUUUGUUUAUUUUAGUAAAAACCGCUCAAAUCAAUGUUCCGGUCAACCUUUAUAUUUUUCACUUAAACCGGCAAGGGGCACCUGAGGACCCCUUUACUUGAUUUUACCUGGGAGCCAAACAAAAAUUGAUAAUUAAAUUUUAAUAGCAUUUCUAGGUUUCUAAAUACAUUAUUAAACUUGAAAAAUAUACCCAGCUAAAUAGAAUAAUUUUUAGAAUCUUGCCAGUUAGAGGGUUAAUAAAAAUACCUACCUAGUCAUUGUCUGUUGUAUAUUGAUCUUAGGUAAAUUCUUUUGCUCAUAUAAAUACCAUGCUGGUCCCAUUCAGGUUCAUUUGUAGACUCAAAGUAGGUGAAACCUAAAGAGACCUAGUUAGCAGCCAGGAGAAGGGCAUGGCUCUAACCCUCAACAAUGAGCAUUGCAGAAAAUUAACAGUUCCCUAGGUAACCAUCCACUGAAAAUCUUAGAAGAAUAAUAGAGCCCCCAAGGCAACCAUAAGAGUAAUUGUUGACAUUACCGCAGUUCAUCAGGUAACCAUAUUGUCUUAUUUGGACCUACCAUCUGACCCCUACUGAAGAUCGUAAAGAACUCAAGACAGCACCUUAAGAAGCCUUCAGACCAUCAGCUAAGAUCCUUAAUAAAAUAUAUAGCUGGCCUGUAAACAUAGACAGACUAUUUUUAUAUAAAGUAACAUCAUAAAUUCUAAAAUGUAGAUCUUGAAUUGUGACCAUAAUAAAAUGAGAAAAUAAAGCAUUUAUACUGAA
Molecule: long non-coding RNA, 1600 nt
Filed under: Diabrotica virgifera virgifera (western corn rootworm)
Lineage: Eukaryota; Metazoa; Arthropoda; Insecta; Coleoptera; Chrysomelidae
Description: uncharacterized LOC126888287
Source: RNAcentral